Hordeum vulgare subsp. vulgare (domesticated barley) is the source of this 153-nucleotide non-coding RNA. NCBI's taxonomy places the organism in Eukaryota, Viridiplantae, Streptophyta, Magnoliopsida, Poales, Poaceae. The record is from Rfam.
UUAUUACUCUCUUCGUCCGGAAAUAUUUGUCCUAAAAAUGUAUAUAAUGGAUGUAUCUAUAANNAAAAUAAGUCUAGAUACAUUCAUCUCUAGAAAAUAAGUCUAGAUACAUUCAUCUCUAGGACAAGUAUUUCCGGACGAAGGGAGUAUAUU